UAGAUGGUGACAAGGAUAUCAAGGGUUUAACUAGAUGAGGUUAAUUAGGUUUUAACAAGCACAACGUGUAAAAUCAGGUAAAAUGUCUUUGUUUCCUCAUGUUCUUGUGGUUCUAAAAUGUGAUGUAGGAAAAAACAAAAGUCGUUGAUGUCCGUUAUUAAGUCCCAAACCUAAAUAGUUGAAGGAAAUCAUAUCGCGGGUGGUCAAAUAAAGGAGAUAGAUCACCGGACUAAGAUCACCUUGAAACCAACCAAUCACGAGAAGACAACGAAAGCUGAUUAGAAUCAAACUGUUUGGACUGAACACGAGUAAAGGUCACCUGAAGUGUAAGGUUUCCUCCCUGUCUUCUCGUCAGAUGGACUGUUCCUGUACCGUAUCCAACGUCUGUUUAUGACGCUUACACCUACAACGUGUGAUAACACUUCCACGUCGGGACGAGUUAAGUUAGAGGUGACGUGUAUAGAUGAAGUUAAAGAUGAUGUUUAAGUGGAAAAGUUGUCGUCUGCGCCCCGUCUCUUCAGUCUGCCGUUCCUACUCGUCGUCGUAGUCUGUCGCUCCUCCUCGUCUUCGUAGUCUGCUGCUCCUGAGCUAGCCCCCGCAACCGCAGCGGGUUAUCGUCGUCGUAGUCUCCGACCUCCCUUAGCGCCGCCGGCGUCUUACUUCGCCGCCGGCUGCUGAACAGGUUUAGGCCGUGGCCUCCGGCGCCCGCGCUCCUUCGCCCGUCUCCUACUCCCGCGCCCGGCGUGGCCGAUCCCUGCGCUCGUCCCUCCACUGCAGCCGGCACCUCCUCCGCCCGCAGAUCAACCAGGGCGCCUCCUCGUCAGCGGAGGCACACCCGCCGUCGUGUCGAGCGGAAACACGCCCGCCACGUCCACCCGUCCCCGCGGUACCUAACCGUCGUCGCCGCUACGUCCACCUGCCGUUGCGCGACCCGGGAUGCCACCGACGGCUGCCGCGUGACCCGAACAAGGACGGCGCCCGCAGACCUCCUCCUUCUUCGUUUCCCCAUUAAUCGUCCUCUAAAUUUUAGGAUUCCUAAAAAAAAAAACGUUUUUAGUGUCGCUUGAUGCGGCACCUGUUGAAAAGGGCCUGCCUCCCUCAUAUUAUCACCGUGAUCAACUUCAGUCGGACGUCGAGGUGAGCUGCUAAGUUAAGUACGCUGGAAAAGACAUCAAAUGAACUUUACUUCGUUUCUAACGUAGUAAGUCGAUCGUUCUUCAUGAACGAGAACACUCUACCGUCCAAGAAAAAAUCAUCAACGUAUUUUUAAUUCGUUGUAAUUCCAACAGACAGGAUGAGUACAUUCCACGUUGAUAUUAAACGAAUAGGAGAACAUGUCAAGGU
This 1344-nucleotide ribosomal RNA is filed under the name Triticum aestivum (bread wheat). RNAcentral's name for it is "partial small subunit ribosomal RNA". Lineage: Eukaryota; Viridiplantae; Streptophyta; Magnoliopsida; Poales; Poaceae. The record is from RNAcentral.